This 135-nucleotide ribosomal RNA is filed under the name Diaphorina citri (Asian citrus psyllid). Lineage: Eukaryota; Metazoa; Arthropoda; Insecta; Hemiptera; Psyllidae. The record is from RNAcentral.
GCCAGCGACAAUACCACGUUGAAUGUACGUAGCAUGUACCUGUACCAGUUCUCCACGGAUCACAAAAGUUAACCAACGUUGUGCGUGGUUGGUAGUCGGAUGGGUGACCAUCCAGGCAAUUGUGUGCUGCUGACU